CGGGAAGAGCUCAAAUUUAUAAUCUGGCACCUUCGGUGUCCGAGUUGUAAUCUCUAGAAGUGUUUUCCGCGUUGGACCGCGCAUAAGUCUGUUGGAAUACAGCGGCACAGUGGUGAGACCCCCGUAUGUGGUGCGGACGCCCAGCGCUUUGUGAUACACUUUCGAAGAGUCGAGUUGUUUGGGAAUGCAGCUCAAAUUGGGUGGUAAAUUCCAUCUAAAGCUAAAUAUUGGCGAGAGACCGAUAGCGAACAAGUACCGUGAGGGAAAGAUGAAAAGCACUUUGGAAAGAGAGUUAACAGUACGUGAAAUUGUUGGAAGGGAAACGCUUGAAGUCAGACUUGCUUGCCGGGCAACCGGUUUGCAGGCCAGCAUCAGUUUUCCGGGGUGGAUAAUGGUAGAGAGAAGGUAGCAGUUUCGGCUGUGUUAUAGCUCUCUACUGGAUACACCUUGGGGGACUGAGGAACGCAGUGUGCCUUACGGCGGAGGUUUCGACCUCUUCACACUUAGGAUGCUGGUGGAAUGGCUUUAAACGAC
Molecule: ribosomal RNA, 534 nt
Filed under: Rhodotorula sphaerocarpa
Lineage: Eukaryota; Fungi; Basidiomycota; Microbotryomycetes; Sporidiobolales; Sporidiobolaceae
Description: eukaryotic LSU rRNA
Rfam family: Eukaryotic large subunit ribosomal RNA
Source: RNAcentral